CGAACGAGAGGCGAACCUGCGAAGGCAAGCGGAUCUCUUAAAGCCGUUCUCAGUUCGGACUGUAGGCUGCAACUCGCCUACACGAAGCUGGAAUCGCUAGUAAUCGCGGAUCAGCACGCCGCGGUGAAUACGUUCCCGGGCCUUGUACACACCGCCCGUCACACCAUGAGAGUCUGUAACACCCAAAGCCGGUGGCCUAACCUUUAUGGAGGGAGCCGCCUAAGGCGGGACAGAUGACUGGGGUGAAGUCGUAACAAGGUACC
Molecule: ribosomal RNA, 263 nt
Filed under: uncultured bacterium
Lineage: Bacteria
Description: partial 16S ribosomal RNA
Rfam family: Bacterial small subunit ribosomal RNA
Source: RNAcentral